UACGAAGGGGGCUAGCGUUGUUCGGAAUUACUGGGCGUAAAGCGCGCGUAGGCGGUGAUCUUUGUCAGAGGUGAAAGCCCGGGGCUCAACUCCGGAAUUGCCUUUGAAACGGGAUUGCUAGAGUCCGAGAGAGGAUGGCGGAAUUCCUAGUGUAGAGGUGAAAUUCGUAGAUAUUAGGAAGAACACCGGUGGCGAAGGCGGCCAUCUGGCUCGGUACUGACGCUCAGGCGCGAAAGCGUGGGGAGCAAACA
RNAcentral lists this ribosomal RNA (251 nucleotides) under uncultured bacterium. Its description in RNAcentral is "partial 16S ribosomal RNA". It matches the Rfam family "Bacterial small subunit ribosomal RNA", at positions 524 to 774 of the family's 1533-position model. The record is from RNAcentral.